GACGAACGCUGGCGGCGUGCUUAACACAUGCAAGUCGAACGAUGAAGCCUAGCUUGCUAGGUGGAUUAGUGGCGAACGGGUGAGUAAUACGUGAGUGACCUACCUUUGACUCUGGGAUAAGCCUGGGAAACUGGGUCUAAUACCGGAUACGACCAAUCUCCGCAUGGGGUGUUGGUGGAAAGCGUUAUGGAGUGGUUUUAGAUGGGCUCACGGCCUAUCAGCUUGUUGGUGAGGUAAUGGCUUACCAAGGCGACGACGGGUAGCCGGCCUGAGAGGGUGACUGGCCACACUGGGACUGAGACACGGCCCAGACUCCUACGGGAGGCAGCAGUGGGGAAUAUUGCACAAUGGGCGCAAGCCUGAUGCAGCGACGCCGCGUGAGGGAUGACGGCCUUCGGGUUGUAAACCUCUGUUAGCAUCGAAGGAGCGAAAGUGACGGUAGGUGCAGAGAAAGCGCCGGCUAACUACGUG
This 471-nucleotide ribosomal RNA is filed under the name uncultured bacterium. RNAcentral's name for it is "partial 16S ribosomal RNA". It matches the Rfam family "Bacterial small subunit ribosomal RNA", at positions 28 to 507 of the family's 1533-position model. The record is from RNAcentral.